Molecule: ribosomal RNA, 436 nt
Filed under: uncultured bacterium
Lineage: Bacteria
Description: bacterial SSU rRNA
Rfam family: Bacterial small subunit ribosomal RNA
Source: RNAcentral
AACGCGAAGAACCUUACCAGGUCUUGACAUCCUCUGACAACUCUAGAGAUAGAGCGUUCCCCUUCGGGGGACAGAGUGACAGGUGGUGCAUGGUUGUCGUCAGCUCGUGUCGUGAGAUGUUGGGUUAAGUCCCGCAACGAGCGCAACCCUUGAUCUUAGUUGCCAGCAUUUAGUUGGGCACUCUAAGGUGACUGCCGGUGACAAACCGGAGGAAGGUGGGGAUGACGUCAAAUCAUCAUGCCCCUUAUGACCUGGGCUACACACGUGCUACAAUGGAUGGUACAAAAGGCUGCAAGACCGCGAGGUCAAGCCAAUCCCAUAAAACCAUUCUCAGUUCGGAUUGUAGGCUGCAACUCGCCUACAUGAAGCUGGAAUCGCUAGUAAUCGCGGAUCAGCAUGCCGCGGUGAAUACGUUCCCGGGCCUUGUACACACCGA